Molecule: ribosomal RNA, 562 nt
Filed under: Hypoxylon crocopeplum
Lineage: Eukaryota; Fungi; Ascomycota; Sordariomycetes; Xylariales; Hypoxylaceae
Also listed under: 1 other name
Description: eukaryotic LSU rRNA
Rfam family: Eukaryotic large subunit ribosomal RNA
Source: RNAcentral
AAACCAACAGGGAUUGCCCUAGUAACGGCGAGUGAAGCGGCAACAGCUCAAAUUUGAAAUCUGGCCUUCGGGUCCGAAUUGUAAUUUGCAGAGGAUGCUUUUGGCGAGGUGCCUUCCGAGUUCCCUGGAACGGGACGCCUUAGAGGGUGAGAGCCCCGUACGGUUGGACACUAAGCCUCUGUAAAGCUCCUUCGACGAGUCGAGUAGUUUGGGAAUGCUGCUCUAAAUGGGAGGUAAAUUUCUUCUAAAGCUAAAUACCGGCCAGAGACCGAUAGCGCACAAGUAGAGUGAUCGAAAGAUGAAAAGCACUUUGAAAAGAGGGUUAAAUAGCACGUGAAAUUGUUGAAAGGGAAGCGUUUACGGCCAGACCUUUUCCUAGCGGAUCAUCUAGUGUUCUCACUGGUGCACUUCGUUAGGUUUAGGCCAGCAUCGGCUUCUGUAGAGGGAUAAAAGCAGUGGGAAAGUAGCUCUCUCGGGAGUGUUAUAGCCCUAAGCAUAAUACCUUUACGGGGGCCGAGGACCGCGCUUUUGCAAGGAUGCUGGCGUAAUGGUCGUCAACGAC